ACCAAGGCCUUGCGCGGCCCAACGCACAAGGGGGGACGGCGCGCCCUGCUGCGGGCCCUCGCCCUGGCCCCGGUGCCACCAGUUUCCCUUGGCCGGGAUUCUUUGUGGCCUAGGCAGGCAGGCGCCCGUGCUGUCUCCACUCUGACCUAGGCACCCACCCACAUGAGGCGUCGGGAGGUGUGGGGCCGGGAGAACAUUGCUCUGCCUGGUUUCCUAGGCGGAGGCAGGUGUGUUGUCGGCAGAGACCCUCACUCAGGCCAAGUGCGUGAUGUCUCUUCUUCUUCCGCAGACGCCGAGCCCGGCACCCGGGAACCUGUUCCGGACGUGCCGCUCCCAACCAUGACUCCCAGCACCGAGGAGGCUGACCACGACCACGACCCCGACGCCGAGCCCGGCACCCGGGAACUUGUUCCGGACGUGCAGCACCGAGGAGGCUGACCACGACCACGACCCCGAGCACGACCACGACCACGACCACGACCACGACCACGACCACGACCACGGUAGGGGCCCGUGUGCCUUGUGUCCUCUGCCCCUGGGAGCCCGCUGGGCUGCCGGGGCUCCUUGAGCGAGAACGGGCUUUCCUAUUGCCUCCGGGACCGGGAAGGUGUCGCCAUGCGAUUCCUUGUCCCGAAACGCUGGCCUGUGCUCUGGAGCUGCGGGGACGUCCUCGGGGCUCUGCCCGGGAAGGAUGUGCUCCCUGGGGAGAGAGGGGCCGCGGUGCGAGUCAGGCGCUCCGAGACGGGGCCGUGUGUCCUCCCGGGUGCUCUGGUUGGCUGCACGCUGCCUGGGCCUGUCCGCAGGUUGUCCGUUUCUCUGCGUGGUGGUCUGCUGACCCGUGCGGGAGGGGCGUAGGCUUCCCCGCCCCCCACGUCUGCUCCCGCCAUGACCCACCCCGGGGGUCUGGUGCAGCACUCCCAGCCCGCAUGCCUGGCGUGGCCACGGAGGCUGCGAGUGCAGAAGCCUCAUGGGACCCGGCGUGGAGUGCCCCACUGCCCCUGGUGGCCCAGUGUGCGCAGCGGACUUAGGCGCGGGCACGCUGGGCUCCGCGAGGGUGGUGCUCUGUGCCUCUGCCUCUCCUGAGACGUCCUUGCCUUCCUCUUGGCGUUGGCUGGUCUCCGAGCUCCCGGGACAGCGUCCAGGAGGCGUGGCCGCUGCCUGAGGACCAGUCCUCGAUGUGCCCUCUGACGCUGGCACGAGCGUGUUCUGGACCCGUGCCGUGCCCCCAGGCAGCUGGGGAGUUGUCUGCCUUGUAGUGCGGCGGGCCACCAGGAGAAUCUGACC
Molecule: long non-coding RNA, 1284 nt
Filed under: Oryctolagus cuniculus (rabbit)
Lineage: Eukaryota; Metazoa; Chordata; Mammalia; Lagomorpha; Leporidae
Description: lncRNA (ENSOCUG00000034351.1)
Source: RNAcentral